CUCCUACGGGAGGCUGCAGUGGGGAAUUUUGGACAAUGGGGGCAACCCUGAUCCAGCCAUGCCGCGUGAGUGAAGAAGGCCUUCGGGUUGUAAAGCUCUUUCGGCCGGGAAGAAAUCGCAUAGGUUAAUACCCUGUGUGGAUGACGGUACCGGAAUAAGAAGCACCGGCUAACUACGUGCCAGCAGCCGCGGUAAUACGUAGGGUGCGAGCGUUAAUCGGAAUUACUGGGCGUAAAGCGUGCGCAGGCGGUUUAGUAAGACAGGCGUGAAAUCCCCGGGCUCAACCUGGGAACUGCGCUUGUGACUGCUAAGCUAGAGUACGGCAGAGGGGGGUGGAAUUCCACGUGUAGCAGUGAAAUGCGUAGAGAUGUGGAGGAACACCAAUGGCGAAGGCAGCCCCCUGGGCCGAUACUGACGCUCAUGCACGGAAGCGUGGGUAGCAAACAGGAUUAGAUACCCUGGUAGUCCACGCCCUAAACGAUGUCAACUAGGUGUUGGGUGGGUAAAACCAUUUAGUACCGUAGCUAACGCGUGAAGUGACCGC
RNAcentral lists this ribosomal RNA (544 nucleotides) under uncultured bacterium. RNAcentral's name for it is "bacterial SSU rRNA". It matches the Rfam family "Bacterial small subunit ribosomal RNA", at positions 336 to 872 of the family's 1533-position model. The record is from RNAcentral.